CAUACGGGGGGCAGCAGUGGGGAAUAUUGGACAAUGGGCGAAAGCCUGAACCAGCCAUGCCGCGUGUGUGAAGAAGGCCUUCGGGUUGUAAAGCACUUUCAGUGGGGAAGAAAGCCUUGGGGCUAAUACCCUCGAGGAAGGACAUCACCCACAGAAGAAGCACCGGCUAACUCCGUGCCAGCAGCCGCGGUAAUACGGAGGGUGCGAGCGUUAAUCGGAAUUACUGGGCGUAAAGCGCGCGUAGGCGGUCUGAUAAGCCGGUUGUGAAAGCCCCGGGCUCAACCUGGGAACGGCAUCCGGAACUGUCAGGCUAGAGUGCAGGAGAGGAAGGUAGAAUUCCCGGUGUAGCGGUGAAAUGCGUAGAGAUCGGGAGGAAUACCAGUGGCGAAGGCGGCCUUCUGGACUGACACUGACGCUGAGGUGCGAAAGCGUGGGUAGCAAACAGGAUUAGAUACCCGAGUAGUC
RNAcentral lists this ribosomal RNA (465 nucleotides) under Vreelandella stevensii. Its description in RNAcentral is "partial 16S ribosomal RNA". It matches the Rfam family "Bacterial small subunit ribosomal RNA", at positions 338 to 795 of the family's 1533-position model. Lineage: Bacteria; Pseudomonadati; Pseudomonadota; Gammaproteobacteria; Oceanospirillales; Halomonadaceae. The record is from RNAcentral.